CGCGAUUCUUCCCCUCUCGCCCCAGAUCCGCCGCUCCACGCGCACCCGCCACCAUCGCCGCCAUGGACUACCUCCCCCGUUGUGGCCACCGUCGUCCUCACCGGCAGAUACUGCGUUAGGAGCUCCGCCUGCUCCCUCUGCUUCUACUCCGACCACAAGCCCAAGACCUACGCCACUACAUCGAGCGGAUCGAGCUCCUCCCUCUUCUUCUGUCACCGGCGCUUCUCCGACGAAUUGCUCGCCGUCUUCUGCUCCCGUUCCUCGCAGAGCCUUCCUUCUGCUCCACG
This 287-nucleotide ribosomal RNA is filed under the name Triticum aestivum (bread wheat). RNAcentral's name for it is "partial small subunit ribosomal RNA". Lineage: Eukaryota; Viridiplantae; Streptophyta; Magnoliopsida; Poales; Poaceae. The record is from RNAcentral.